AGUCACCCCCGGCCAGUUCAGCAGCCCCAGGCCGCCUGGCGCCCGGCGGGUCCGGGUCGAGGAGGCCCUGCCCGACCCACUGUUCGGAUCUGUGGCGCCGACUCUCAGGUGCGCUGCGCCGGGUCUGGCGAGAUCUCGAGGACAGGACCGGCCUGGAGGGAAGCUCACCCGUCCCGCAGCGCCUCGGAUUAGAAGACUCUCGCUGAAACCCCAGAGCCGCCGCCGCGCCGCGGAUGACAACACCACUCGAGCCGCCGCAGCCGCCAUUUCUGCUAGAAGGAAGGUAGAG
This 289-nucleotide long non-coding RNA is filed under the name Homo sapiens (human). RNAcentral's name for it is "non-protein coding lnc-DNAJC2-1:1". The record is from RNAcentral. Lineage: Eukaryota; Metazoa; Chordata; Mammalia; Primates; Hominidae.